This 30-nucleotide non-coding RNA is filed under the name Rattus norvegicus (Norway rat). Lineage: Eukaryota; Metazoa; Chordata; Mammalia; Rodentia; Muridae. The record is from RNAcentral.
CACUAUUUCAGUACAAUGAGGGCAGGAUGU